GUGCCAGCAGCCGCGGUAAUACGUAGGGUGCGAGCGUUGUCCGGAAUUAUUGGGCGUAAAGGGCUCGUAGGCGGUCUGUCGCGUCGGGAGUGAAAACCAGGUGCUUAACACCUGGCUUGCUUUCGAUACGGGCAGACUAGAGGUAUUCAGGGGAGAACGGAAUUCCUGGUGUAGCGGUGAAAUGCGCAGAUAUCAGGAGGAACACCGGUGGCGAAGGCGGUUCUCUGGGAAUAUCCUGACGCUGAGGAGCGAAAGUGUGGGGGAGCGAACAGGAUUAGAUACCCUGGUAGUCC
This 293-nucleotide ribosomal RNA is filed under the name uncultured microorganism. RNAcentral's name for it is "partial 16S ribosomal RNA". It matches the Rfam family "Bacterial small subunit ribosomal RNA", at positions 505 to 796 of the family's 1533-position model. The record is from RNAcentral.